RNAcentral lists this transfer RNA (76 nucleotides) under bacterium ADurb.Bin374. RNAcentral's name for it is "tRNA-Arg". It matches the Rfam family "tRNA". Rfam says of the family: Transfer RNA (tRNA) molecules are approximately 80 nucleotides in length. The record is from RNAcentral.
GCGCCUGUAGCUCAGGUGGAUAGAGCAACAGCCUUCUAAGCUGUGGGCCAGAGGUUCGAGUCCUCUCAGGCGCGCC